AAUGAUGUUCAAAUAUGUAUGCUCAACUUUCUAAAGUUUUCAUUGUGCAUAUCCCAUUGCAUUAAAUAUGUUACAUGUUUGAUAUUUGGGAUAUUGCUCACACUGCCUCUUUCUUGUUGGAGAUGUCAAUGUCACUGCAAUGAGUAUGCAAUGACAAGCUGUAUGUGUAAUUUUGGUAUAGCAUUGAAUGCAAUUGGAUUGUUGCAAUAUCAGCUAGUUUGCAGCUGGCCUUAAGACACAUCUUGAUGUUAAAAAAUGAAAAAAAAUUAUUAAGUUAUAAUUGAGGAAAUAUGAUGAUGAUUAUUAUUUUUUUAAUAUAUUAAAAUGAUGGAUUAUUCAUUACGAUGAAAUAUAAAAAUAAAACUAUAAUACUGUAUGGCAACUGCUGUUUUAGAU
RNAcentral lists this long non-coding RNA (396 nucleotides) under Androctonus crassicauda. The record is from RNAcentral. Lineage: Eukaryota; Metazoa; Arthropoda; Arachnida; Scorpiones; Buthidae.